CUUCAAGGUAAAGUCUUGAAAUUCAAAACAAGUGAGGGGCCGAGAGAGUGAGCGGACAGUAAGGGGCCCUGUGGGAGAGUGAGCUGGGAGACAGUGUGGCUGCAGAAUUGAAAUGAGCCUCAAAUGCCAGAAGCAGGAGUUGGGUGUGCCCUGCCAGACAAACCACAAGUUGGCCCUCUGACCCAGUGUACCCUGGGCCAGCUUCCCAGGGAAGGGGCAGCCCUCCAAGGAAGAAGGCAGUGGCCACAUCCCUGCCCUUUGAGGAGAUAUUCAGUAAGUCUCAGCGAUGUCUAUGGUGUAAUGGAAAAAAGCAUGGAUUCAGUGUUCAAAUCUCAAAGUGAAAUCUCAACUGGGCCACUUACUAGCUGUGUGACCUUGGGAUAAUUACUUAAGGUCUCUGAGCUCAGUUUCCUCUUCUGUAAGAUCAGGCUCAAAAUACACCUCCCUUGUGAGAGAUGAUGCAGAUUCAGCAAGAUAACGGCCUGGGGUGAGGGGGGCGGGGAAGGUGCUCAGCUCGGUUGGUUUCCCUUUCUUUCCUCUGAGGUCAAGAUGGAACGAUAAAGCGGGCCGGAUGGGGCCAUCUCUCAGCCUAAAGGAAAGCACUUCAGCAGCUCUGCAGAGGCUUCUGGAAGGGAGAAGUUGGCAUCUUCCCUCCUCUGACUGAAUCAGCUGGCAAAAUGGGAAAGGAUUGUGGGGAUUUGAGGAAAAUACUCUAAUGCCUGUCCCAGUUUUGUCACCAGCCUAUCUUCCUUUACUCCAAACACAUUUGACUUUUUCCCCUGGGUUUGCUGUGGCCUAGAGAGUGAACUUUGGAGUCAAAUAGACUUGCAUUUGAAUCCUGGCUCCACCUCUUCACAGCGCAGUGAAACACAUUUUUUAACUUCCCUGAACCCCAGGCACAGAGGACAAAUUGAUCAAGGGCCCUGCCCCAUAGAGCCAUCUUUUAGUGGAAGAGUAGUUAGCUUGCAACCUCACCCUUCGUUCACUCCCUCAUUCGCGCGCUCACAAAAACUGACUGAACACCUAUUAAGUGAAGGCACCAUUCAGGACGCUGGAGAUGAAGAUGUGAGCAAGACCGCCACAGUUCUUGCCCAAUAGGGUAAAUAAAUAAGCAGGGCAAUUAGACACUGGGAUAUGAAGGCAACGAACGUUUGUUGGAGGAGAGAGGACUGGGGGACACCAGCACCCAGGGCUCAGUGUCUUCAGGGUCAGCCAGAAGGCCAAGGUGACAAGACCAGCAAGUGGGCGAGAAUGGUAUGAGAGGACAAGGCCAGAUCCUGUGGGGCAUUGUGGGCAGGGAUUUUAUUACAUGAGUUCAGACUGUAUUGUAUGAGCAAGGGGGAGCCGUGGGAGGAUUUUAAACAGGGGGGGUGACAUGAUUGAGGGAAGGUCAAGAGACCGCUGAGGAGGCUUUGCUUUGUCUGGCCAGUCAUGAUGGGCAUGGGCCCUGGUGGACAGAGGAGAGCCAUGUGACAGCUCUCGGUGAGGGGCUGUUUGUGGGGAGUGAGGCCACUGGAGAAGGCAGGCCUGAUCCUCAGGUGCGGCUGGAGCAGCUGGGAAACAGUGAUGCUCUUUGCUGAGGUAGGGAGGACCUGGGAGAGGGACAGGGGGUAACGCUCAAGAGCUGGACUUUGGACAACCUGAGUUUAAGGUCCCUGUGAGACGUGGAGACAGCAAGUCAGUGUUUGGAGCCACAUUUUACAGACAAGCCCAAUGAGGCUCCAACAUCAAGAACUUUUCCAGAGUCCACCCCCAGGACUGAGAUUGAGGUCUGAGGACCUCCAAAGCCUGGAGCACCACACAGCCUCUCCCCUCAACAGAUUUCGCGGUAGGAAAUUAUCAGAAAGGGGGCCUUGGGUUUCAGGAUUGGGGAGUAAAUUUAGGAGGAGCCCCCUCUCGGCCAGGUAGGCUCAAGCACUAGGUUUCCCAGGCUGGGCUACUUGUCCCCAGUAUGGUGAGCCCACCCUGGAGGAAUGGAGAAAAGAGGAGAGAGGGGAGACCCCUGGAUAUGGGGAAUGGAGCUCAGACUUCUGGCUGCAUUUUGAUGAUACAGGCCAACUGGGCGAGCUCGAUGCAAAGUGGAGUUGGUCAGUGGUAGCCAGAAGUCCAGAGCUUAAGCACCUUUAUGGGUCCUCUGGGGAGAGGAGGGGCUCUCUCCCUCUACCCUGCCUUCUCCCCUCCCCCAGCCCCUUUGCUCUGAGAUCACAGUUUAGAGAAGCUGGUGUGAAAUAGUUUGAAACUCAGAUCUUCUGGGCGGUCCCCCAGGGCAGAAAACAGGAAGCCAAGAUUAAAGGCAGAUUUCCAGCAAAGUCCCCUUCUACUUCCGGCAGAGCAGGUGCUCAGGCUGAGCUCACUGUGAGCAGCUUCCUCUGCUGACAGCACCUCUGGGUGCCCCAUGCCAGCCUUCCUCCUUUGGGAGCUGUUCUUUGACCUUGUCAUCACCAUCCCCACCAGGGAGCUCCUGCCAGGGCCUUGGGGAAUGAGCCUCCUCCAGAAAGAGGCCAUGGAAGGUGGAAGGAGCGGUCACUGGGAAAGAGGCCUAGUGGUGGCACUGACAGGAAACAGCACCUGGGGAAACCUGGUGCAGUGAGACCAAGCGGAAAGGAUAAGGAAUCUGAAGAGGGCUUCCAGUGAAGGAACUCAGUUGCCAGAUCCUGGGUCAGGGAAAAAGGACCCGCGAUGCCAUCACAUCAUUCUCACAGAAUUUUUUUUACAGGCUCACCACUGCUCAGCUAUGUGACCUUAAGUAAAAGUCACUUAACCUUUUGAAGCCUCAAUUUCCUCAUCUCUAAAAUGGGGAUGAGAGGCCCACCUCACAAGGUACUCCCUGUGCUAAACUGAGAUGAUGUAAAUUUCCUCAUUAGCACAGUGCUUUGGUGCAGGGCACUCUUGCUCACUGGCAGUGAGAUGAAUAUUUUUCUCUGACUCUGGAAACAGGCUGUGUAGUGCCGGGCCUCGCCUGCUGUCCUCCCAGUGUUUAGUCUGCUCCCUGAGGCUUUGUCUGUUCCUGAGCCUACAGUUUCACAGAGGCUGAUGAACUGAAGCUCUUCUUCGUCCAUUCACCAGAUAUCGAGGGUGUGUUUCCUGGACUACUUUCCAGGCCCCAGGGCCCCUGAGAGGGGACAGGGCCAGAGCUUCUUUGGUUCUCACCUGGAGUCCUGGGCUCACAAAAUGUCUUACAGGUUGGCGCUUCCCCCUCAGUGCUGCCCAGAGACCCUCGCCUGCCAGGUGUCAUCUUUAAGCCAGACCACCCCCACCCAGAAGUCUCCAGGUUCUGCUUUGUGGAUUGGAGGCCCCAGUUGGUGCUGUUCUGGCUUCUGCAUGGGAACGGUUUGGGGGGACGCAAGAAAAGGGGUCCUGGGGUUCUCCAAGGUGCAAAGGAUGGAAACUUGGCCCGGGGCAGGCAAGGAGAGGGCGCAGGGGGUUGGCCUGGCUUAGGCUGCAAAGGGAGAGCAGCUGGGUGCUGGUGAGCUGCCUCAGGCCAAGCUUUUGUAAAUCACAUGCAAAUCCUCUGGCCCAGGUAUCCGUACCUGUGACUGGUAAGUGUCAACACCUGUCCCUGUGGGACAUCAGGGGAGAUUUCCAAAGACCCCUCCCUUGGUUGGGAGUGGGGCGGAGCUGGGUAGGUACAGGACCUUCCCUACACAGGAGGAGUUUCUGGAAGCCACCUGGGAGUUAGGGAUGGAGCCUAGAGGGCCCUUCCUCAGUGGGCUCCAGGGGACCAGGAGGGAAGUGGCCCUGGCCCCCCCCCCCCCCCCGCCGUUUUGGUUGUUAGACCCCUCAGAGUUUAGUUCCAGAGAGUAGGUAUCUGGGCAGGGCGAGCUCUCUGAGGACAGGGACUAGCUCCUUUUCUUUGUCUCUCCACAGGGUGGCACAGAGCCUGUAACUGUAAAGCCAUGUUGAUUGAAUAAGUGAGUGACUGAAUUCUCCUUGGGGUCUCCAGCCACAGGUCUCAGGGCUCCCAUUCCAAGGAGAAGGUCUUUACCUGCCUCCCUGUUUUCUCCCCCCCCAGCCCAUCUUCUUAGACCUCUCUCCUUAACCUCUGGGUCUCCAGGGGCGCUAUCCUGACAUAGAGAUAGGCCCCUGGAGGUCUAGGUCACCUCUCCCUCCAGGCAGAGCCAGUUCUGGUUGGAGAGGUGGCCCUCCUAUCCCCUGAAGUCUCCCCUCCCACUCCUGGGGCCGUGAAACUCCAGUUCCUCAGCCAGCCCUCACCCCAGCUGUGAGCAGGGCAGCCUCAGAGAGAAGGCCAGCCUGCGUCUGGGAACCUGAGUCCUAGGUGUUCGAUUCGACAGGGACCUGGCAUUGGUUGAAUGAGCAAAGGAUUGAAGAUAGGGUGACAGGACCAAAGGCUGGGAGGAGCGGGUUGCUUCCCUGAGCUUGGGGUGCAGAGGGAACAAGAAGCUUCAAGUUGGCUAGGGCGAGGGUGCGUGAUGGAGGAAAGCAGUACCACAAACACCAGGGACCCUUGGAGACGGUUUUCAGUGGCAGCUGGGAGCUGAGAGGCCAGGGACAGCACCCUGUUCAAACUGCACCCGAGCCUGAUCUUAGCUGUCUCCUUGCUGCUUUCUUCCUUGGGUGACUGUCUUUCCUGCCACUUUUGUGAGCAGUACGUUUAUUUUUCGCUUAUGUUAACCAGAGGUCGGUUUCUGUUGUUUGAGUCUUAGAACCCUGCCCGGUGCCCCUGACCCCACCCUCAUCAUGGCAGAGGGAGGAUGAGGUCACCACCACUCUGGUCUCCUGGGUGCCUGGACUGGCCUCGGUGUUGCUGACAUCUCUGGGAUUCUCCUAAAUAACAAGAGCAGGACAAGGACAAGAAGGAAGGCACGCUUUGUUGAACACCUACCGUGUGCUGGCUGUUUGUACAUUUGAUCUCAUUUGGUCUUUAUCCUUCAAGGAAAACAGUAGCAUCUAGAUCUUGUCUGUAUGGCAAGGGAGGCCCACAGAACAUGAUUCGAGGGACCGCCCAAAGCCUGGGCUCUCAGACAGCAGUUCCAGAGGUCCCAGGCCCCAGGUCCUAGGUUUGUUGGCAGUGAGCUGGGGAAGAUGUUGACAUCCUGCCUGCCAGUCCUCCACUGAGGCACAGAGGAGCUGCUGGUGCGGGGCAGGAGAGUCUGUGUAGAAUGGUCCUGGAACCCAAGGUGGGAGGCAGAGCUGGGGCACUGGCAGAGGCAGGGCUGGGAAGCAAAGGUGUAGGGGGCAGACAGGGGUCACAUUUCCAGCUUCACAGUCCAUCCUGAACCUUCUCAGCAGGCCUGGCUUGGGCCCAGGUGUCCUGCAUUGGUGCAAGGAAUUCUGCAUGAGCUCCAAGAGCCACCAGCCAGGCUGAGGUCAAGUCUGACUCUGCAAAUGACUAGCAGUGUCAUCCUGGGUGAGUAACCUCCCCCUCUGCACCCCUGUCCCCAUCUGCCUGGUGGGCAUGAGCACACUGGCCUCACAGAGUGUCAUGAGCACUAAGUGGGGCAAAACUCCAGCAGAGAGCAAGUGCUCAGGGAACGCAGGCCGAUUCUCAGGCAGAAUCAAGGGGGCAGUUGGACUCCAGACAUCUCCAAGAUCCUAGGAUUUAAUUCCUUUGACUACAAGACCCCUGAGAAGAGGUAGGUGGGGGUGCAGGUCCUUGUAGAACUGGCCGCUCCCAUCUCUGUGCCUGUCGGUGUACCUGUAACCCUCAUUUACCCACCUGUUGCUCCAGGCAAGUGAGCGGUGUGAGUCCCAGGAGGUCAGGAAGGGUCUACACCACCAGUGUUCCCCGUACCCCCAGCACAGGAAGAUGAUGAGUCAGCCUUGAGGGUAGUGAGUUCCCUGUCCCUGGAAUUAAGAGAAUAGAAGUUAAACUCUUGGCAGGGAGUUGGACAAAGAAUUUCUACUUCGGGUAAGUCUAUAAUGGCCAGACCAGGGAAUGAUGGAGGGAGUGUCCUCUGGUCAUUCUUAGUGGUUUCCCCAGAAUUUCUGAGUAGGAAGAAUUUGAGACUUGUCUUGAAGCUGCAUUUGCAAAAUAAACCUGCUUUUCCUUAGAUUUUCUAUGUGGAAUGGGAAUCCCAGGGCUGCCGGUGACCGUCGGUGGCUGCGGGAAGCAUGUGCUUCUCGAUCGGCCACGAGGGGGCGCCCGAGACUGCAUUCUAGCAAUCCAGCUCCAAAGAGGGUCUGGGCAGAUCCUGGCCUGAGGUCUGAGAACAUGUCUGGGGACAGGAAGAGGGACUCAGAAUUGGAUAGCUGAGUGUGUGGGGCAGGGAGGAAGGGCCAUUCUGCUCCCCACAGAUCACAGGCCUGACAUUUUUUGGUGGCGGGUGGUGGGCACAAGGUGGAAAGUUUCCUUUAAACAAUGAGUCCAGUUAUUGGAAAAAGUUUGAUGAAUUUCAAGAUUACAGUUGUAGCGAAUGUCUAGGAAGACUUCUAACUUGGCAUUUAGGGACAGAUUCCCCUUCCUGUGCGACAGGGAGAAUGUGAGAGUACGGCUGCUUGGAGGAAGGGGCCUAGUGCCCAAGAGGAAAGGACUCCCACCCCCACCUUCACCCCCACAGUUUGAUGCCCAGGUGGGAAGCAGGAAGGAGGGGAGACUUCAGGCAUGGGGGGAGCUGGUAGGCUAUGCUUCCUGGAGUCUCUGUCAUCAUCCCCUGGGUGGGCAGCCCAUGGUGCUGGUUUUCCAGUGUCCUGGGCUGGCACACUCCUCCAGGGAAACAGACCUUGCAGAGCAGGGAGACGGGAAGCGGGUGCUGGUAUGUGGGAGAGCAGGCCCUUGUGGACUGUGGGAAAGUUGUGAGGUCUGCCAGUCUCUGUCAGAGUGGGGCCUGGGGCCUCUCUGGGUGAGGAGAUGGGGCUGCGGAAGUAGCUUAGGGAGAAGGCAGCCCCUUGUCAGACUCAUCAAGUGCACCUGAGGGUGCAGGGCAGCGAGGGCUAUGACCUCCUUGGGCUCCCAGUUGGGGGUGCAGGGCAGUGGCCAGUGGGUUCAGCCAGACCCCAGGAUGGCAAAAAGGAGAUCCUGCCCAGUCCCACCUACUGCCUGCCUGCCCAGCUGUGCGGGAGCCGGCAGCCCUGGGGUGGGGGCGGGGGCAGCUGGGGGGGGCCUGGCUGGGCAGCAUGAAGCCUGGGUUUUUAGCCUUGCCCAUACACCAUCUUCCUAGGUGCCUGUCUCGACCUCAGUUUCCCCAUCUGUGCCCUGAGGUUCACUUAUUCAUUGCACAUUUAUCUAGUGUUGAAUUGAGGGCAGGGUCUUUACCACCCUACACCCAUGGCUUUGAGUCUGUCCUCUGCCAUUUACUUGUUGGGCAAUUUAUGUGAUGUCUCUGGCCUCAGUUUCCUCAUCUGUAAAAAGGGGUAGUGUGCGCCCCAUAGGACUGUUGUGAGGAUUAAAUUAUUAUUAUUAUGCAAUGAGGAAGAUGGGAACUGGUUGCUGUCCUCAGGGAGCACUCAGUAUAGACAUACCGAGGACGCUGCACACUUGAGCUGGCAGAUACACCAGGACACACGGACUCGCAUUCACUGAGGUAUAUACACAAAAGAAGCAGUAUUUUAAGAGAAACACAUUUCAAAGGCUGGAGAAAAGAAGAGGAGGGUCUGGCUCUAGGCCUGAGGUGACCAUGGUAAGUUGGCAGCUCAGCUGUCUGCGGGCUGUGGGCAGUGCUCAUGGCAUGUGUGUCCCCACUCGCAUAUGCAUGCAGCCUCUGAGUGUUUCCAUUACUCAGUCCCUGAGAUGGCUGGGGGAAGGAGGCAGAGCCAAAGGAGUAACCAACUUCUUCUCCCCUUCAUCUCCACUCCUGCAAAAGGCCCCCAAAUGCACAGCCAGAAUAACACCUACUUCAUGGACUCAGAGGAUUUAAGUGGCAAUUCUGACUCAUCCAAUUUCCUGGGGAAGCUGUCUCUUCUCUCUGAGCCUCUGUCACUCCAUCUCUAAAAUGGGGUUAUUUCACGGGUGAGGCUAUGCCUUCCAUGAGAGGGGUGGUAAUUUGUCCAUGGGCUCACAGUAAGCCCUUUCCUGCCUCAGGACCUUUGCAGAUUUUGGUCCCUCUGCCCAGAGCUCUUUUUUCUCUGCUCUUGCUAUUUACUUCUACCUCCUCUGAGAAGCCUGCCUUGAUCAACUCUUCUAAAGUCCUUGUCCCUGUUUGUCUCUUUGUAGCAUCCACGUUUCUUCUUCAUAGCACUCGUUACAGUUUGUAAUUGGGUAUUUAUUUGUAUAUCUACUUUUUUAGUGUCUGUCUCUUCACUAGACCAUGAGCUCCAUGGGAGCAGGAGAUGACCAGGCUAAUCUUAUUCCCUGCUUAUCUCCACCAGCCAGCAUGGCACCUAGUACGUAGUAGAUGUUCAAUCAAUGUAACAUAAAUUCCUUUUUUGAAAUAGGAAAUCUAUACACAUGGUACAAAAUCCAAAAGUUACAAAAGGGUGAAAUCUCUCUCAAACCCAUGUCCUCUAGACAUCUAUUACCUUCUCUGGAGAAGAAACUCACUUUUUCUUAUACAUUCUUGUAGAAUAUUCUCUGCAUAUGUUAGUAUACUAUGGUAAAAAACUAGAUAUGGAGAAUCUUUCAUAUCAUGCAUAUUAUUUUAUAUGACUCUAUCAUAAUUUAUUUAGCCAUUUCCAGAUUGUUGGAAUUAAUAGAAUGCUGCAACAAAAAUCUUUGAAUAUAUUAUUGUCAUUUGUAUAAGCCUAACUGAAGGAUAAAUCUCUAGAAGUAGAAUUGCUGGGUCGAAGGAUAUGUACUUUAAAAUUUUUGACAAAUAUUGCCAAGUUCAUUUUUAGAGAUUUACUUUUUAACUAAAAUUCACUUUCACCAAUAAUAAAUAUGAGUGCCUGUUUUUUAACACCCUCACCAACAUAGUGUGUUAUCAGACAUUUCAUCUUUGCCAAUGUGAUUGGUGAAAAAUUGCAUAUCAUUUUAAGUUAUAUUUCUCUUAUUAUAAGUGAGGCCAAGCAUCUCUUUUUUAAAAAAAAAAAAGAUUUUAUUUUUCCUUUUUCUCCCAAAGUCCCCCGGUACAUAGUUGUAUAUUUUUAGUUGUGAGUCCUUCUAGCUGCGGCAUGUGGGACGCCACCUCAGCAUGACCUGAUGAGUGGUGCCACGUCCACGCCCAGGAUCCGAACUGGCGAAACCCUGGGCCUUGGAAGCAGAGUGCGCGAACCUAACCACUCAGCCACGGGGCCAGCCCCCUAAGCGUCUCUAUGUUUUAAAAUUCAUUUGUAUUUUCCUCUUCUGUUAACAGUUCAUGCUCUUUGUCCAUUUUUAAUUGGAUUGGGUUUUUUUGUAGGAACUCCUUGCAUACUGAGGAAAUUAACCUUUUCUCUGUGGGUCAUGCAGGGUUCCAGCAGGAAACAGAUGACGUGCUCCAAUCAGUUUAAUUUAAGGGAGGUUUAAUACAGGAAUGUUUACAAGAGUGUAGGCAGGGAGUAGGGGGAGUUCAGUAGGGGGAGUAGUUCAGUAGGGGGAGUUCAGUAGGG
Molecule: long non-coding RNA, 9423 nt
Filed under: Equus asinus (donkey)
Lineage: Eukaryota; Metazoa; Chordata; Mammalia; Perissodactyla; Equidae
Description: lncRNA (ENSEASG00005029824.1)
Source: RNAcentral